This is a small nucleolar RNA of Sphaerodactylus townsendi, 132 nucleotides long. The record is from RefSeq and is a predicted model, not a curated record. Lineage: Eukaryota; Metazoa; Chordata; Lepidosauria; Squamata; Sphaerodactylidae.
AUCCAAAGUGUUGAGUUCAGUCCAGGGUUGCGUCCUUGGUCUGGUAAUUAAACUUUGGGACAGCAUAUAGUUGGGAGCAGAGGAACGUGGGGAGUUUGCAUUCUUGCCAGCUUCCUCUCCUAGUCCACACAG